UACGGAGGGUGCAAGCGUUAUCCGGAUUCACUGGGUUUAAAGGGUGCGUAGGUGGGCAGGUAAGUCAGUGGUGAAAUCUCUGGGCUUAACCCGGAAACUGCCGUUGAUACUAUCUGUCUUGAAUAUAGUGGAGGUGAGCGGAAUAUGUCAUGUAGCGGUGAAAUGCUUAGAUAUGACAUAGAACAUCGAUUGCGAAGGCAGCUCGCUACACUAUGAUUGACACUGAGUCACGAAAGCGUGGGGAUCAAACAGG
Molecule: ribosomal RNA, 253 nt
Filed under: uncultured bacterium
Lineage: Bacteria
Description: partial 16S ribosomal RNA
Rfam family: Bacterial small subunit ribosomal RNA
Source: RNAcentral